CUGACUGCUAUCGGAUUGGUACUAAGCCAUGUGAGUCAUUGUAGCAAUACAAGGCAGACGGCUCAGUAACACGUAGUCAAUCUACCCUAUGGACGGGGAUAACCUCGGGAAACUGAGGAAAAAACCCGAUAGAUCAUAGUGCCUGGAACGGCUUAUGGUCCAAAUAAUUCGUCGCCGUAGGAUGGGACUGCGGCCUAUCAGCUUGUUGGUGAGGUAAUGGCCCACCAAGGCUAUUACAGGUACGGGCUCUGAGAGGAGAAGCCCGGAGUUGGGUACUGAGACACGGACCCAGGCCCUAUGGGGCGCAGCAGGCGAGAAACCUUUGCAAUGUGCGCAAGCACGACAAGGUUAAUCCGAGUGUUUCCUGCUAAAGGAAUCUUUUGUUAGUUUUAAAAUCACUAUUGAAUAAGGGGUGGGCAAGUUCUGGUGUCAGCCGCCGCGGUAAAACCAGCACCUCAAGUGGUCAGGAGGAUUAUUGGGCCUAAAGCAUCCGUAGCCUGUUCUGUAAGUUUCCGGUUAAAUCCAUUAGCUCAACUAAUGGGCUGCCGAAAAUACUGCAGAACUAGGGAGUGGGAGAGGUAGACGGUACUCGGUAGGAAGGGGUAAAAUCCUUUGAUCUAUUGAUGACCACCUGUGGCGAAGGCGGUCUACCAGAACACGUUCGACGGUGAGGGAUGAAAGCUGGGGGAGCAAACCGGAUUAGAUACCCGGGUAGUCCCAGCUGUAAACGAUGCAGACUCGGUGAUGCGCUGGCUUGUGGCCAGUGCAGUGCCGCAGGGAAGCCGUUAAGUUUGCCGCCUGGGAAGUACGUACGCAAGUAUGAAACUUAAAGGAAUUGGCGGGGGAGCACCACAAGGGGUGAAGCCUGCGGUUCAAUUGGAUUCAACGCC
This 890-nucleotide ribosomal RNA is filed under the name uncultured archaeon. Its description in RNAcentral is "bacterial SSU rRNA". It matches the Rfam family "Archaeal small subunit ribosomal RNA", at positions 23 to 919 of the family's 1478-position model. The record is from RNAcentral.